Molecule: ribosomal RNA, 865 nt
Filed under: uncultured Rhabdolaimus
Lineage: Eukaryota; Metazoa; Nematoda; Enoplea; Enoplida; Rhabdolaimidae
Description: SSU rRNA
Rfam family: Eukaryotic small subunit ribosomal RNA
Source: RNAcentral
CCAGCAGCAGCGGGUAAUUCCAGCUCCAAUAGCAUAUAUUAAAGUUGUUGCGGUUAAAACGCCCGUAGUUGGAUCAGCGGAUUUGGAGAACGGUCUGCCGAUGGGCUGUACUGUUCUCCUGUCCUAUUUUCUCUAGUUCGCUCUAGGUGCUCUUCACUGAGUGUCUAGAGUGGCUGGAACUUUUACUUUGAAAAAAUUAGAGUGCUCAAAGCAGGCGUCUCAGCCUGAAUAGUGGUGCAUGGAAUAAUGGAAUAGGACCUCAGUUCUAUUUUGUUGGUUUUCGGAACAUGAGGUAAUGAUUAAGAGGGACAGACGGGGGCAUUCGUAUUGCGACGUUAGAGGUGAAAUUCUUGGAUCGUCGCAAGACGAACUACUACGAAAGCAUUUGCCAAGAAUGUUUUCAUUAAUCAAGGACGAUAGUUAGAGGUUCGAAGGCGAUCAGAUACCGCCCUAGUUCUAACCGUAAACGAUGUCAACCAGCGAUCCGCAGGAGUUAUUCAUGACUCUGCGGGCAGCUUCCGGGAAACCAAAGUUUUUGGAUUCCCGGGGGGAGUAUGGUUGCAAAGCUGAAACUUAAAGGAAUUGACGGAAGGGCACCACCAGGAGUGGACCUGCGGCUUAAUUUGACUCAACGCGGGGAAACUCACCCGGCCCGGACACCGUAAGGAUUGACAGAUUGAGAGCUCUUUCUUGAUUCGGUGGGGGUGGUGGUGCAUGGCCGUUCUUAGUUGGUGGAGCGAUUUGUCUGGUUAAUUCCGAUAACGAACGAGACUCUAGCCUACUAAAUAGAAGGCAAAUUAUUCGUUUGCUGUACUUCUUAGAGGGACUAGGGGCGUCUAGCCUCACGAGAUUGAGCAAUAACCAG